Molecule: ribosomal RNA, 489 nt
Filed under: uncultured bacterium
Lineage: Bacteria
Description: partial 16S ribosomal RNA
Rfam family: Bacterial small subunit ribosomal RNA
Source: RNAcentral
AGUGAACGCUGGCGGUAGGCUUAACACAUGCAAGUCGAACGGCAGCACAGUAAGAGCUUGCUCUUACGGGUGGCGAGUGGCGGACGGGUGAGGAAUACAUCGGAAUCUACUUUUUCGUGGGGGAUAACGUAGGGAAACUUACGCUAAUACCGCAUACGACCUACGGGUGAAAGCAGGGGAUCUUCGGACCUUGCGCGAUUGAAUGAGCCGAUGUCGGAUUAGCUAGUUGGCGGGGUAAAGGCCCACCAAGGCGACGAUCCGUAGCUGGUCUGAGAGGAUGAUCAGCCACACUGGAACUGAGACACGGUCCAGACUCCUACGGGAGGCAGCAGUGGGGAAUAUUGGACAAUGGGCGCAAGCCUGAUCCAGCCAUACCGCGUGGGUGAAGAAGGCCUUCGGGUUGUAAAGCCCUUUUGUUGGGAAAGAAAAGCAGCAGGUUAAUACCCCGCUGUUCUGACGGUACCCAAAGAAUAAGCACCGGCUAACUUC